UGCCCUUUGUACACACCGCCCGUCGCUACUACCGAUUGAAUGGCUCAGUGAGGCGUCCGGACUGGCCCAGAGAGGUGGGCAACUACCACUCAGGGCCGGAAAGCUCUCCAAACUCGGUCAUUUAGAGGAAGUAAAAGUCGUAACAAGGUCUCCGUUGGUGAACCAGCGGAGGGAUCAUUACCGAGUUUACAACUCCCAAACCCCUGUGAACAUACCACUUGUUGCCUCGGCGGAUCAGCCCGCUCCCGGUAAAACGGGACGGCCCGCCAGAGGACCCCUAAACUCUGUUUCUAUAUGUAACUUCUGAGUAAAACCAUAAAUAAAUCAAAACUUUCAACAACGGAUCUCUUGGUUCUGGCAUCGAUGAAGAACGCAGCAAAAUGCGAUAAGUAAUGUGAAUUGCAGAAUUCAGUGAAUCAUCGAAUCUUUGAACGCACAUUGCGCCCGCCAGUAUUCUGGCGGGCAUGCCUGUUCGAGCGUCAUUUCAACCCUCAAGCCCUCGGGUUUGGUGUUGGGGAUCGGCGAGCCCUUGCGGCAAGCCGGCCCCGAAAUCUAGUGGCGGUCUCGCUGCAGCCUCCAUUGCGUAGUAGUAAAACCCUCGCAACUGGAACGCACGCGGCCAAGCCGUUAAACCCCCAACUUCUGAAUGUUGACCUCGGAUCAGGUAGGAAUACCCGCUGAACUUAAGCAUAUCAAUAAGCGGAGGAA
RNAcentral lists this ribosomal RNA (708 nucleotides) under Fusarium verticillioides. RNAcentral describes it as "eukaryotic LSU rRNA". The stretch from base 1 to 180 matches the Rfam family "Eukaryotic small subunit ribosomal RNA", at positions 1654 to 1831 of the family's 1831-position model. The record is from RNAcentral. Lineage: Eukaryota; Fungi; Ascomycota; Sordariomycetes; Hypocreales; Nectriaceae.